Gallus gallus (chicken) is the source of this 4094-nucleotide RNA transcript. It is a transcript of the gene named RAB35, member RAS oncogene family pseudogene, with no coding region annotated. NCBI's taxonomy places the organism in Eukaryota, Metazoa, Chordata, Aves, Galliformes, Phasianidae. The record is from RefSeq and is a predicted model, not a curated record. The transcript has a single exon.
AUGCUCCCACCGCUCCUGGCCAUGGCAUGGGACUACAACCACCUUUCCAGUUUGCUCAUCAUUGGUGACAGCAGUGUGGGCAAGAUCAGUUUGUUGUUGUGUUUUGCAGACAAUACAUUCUCAGGCAGCUACAUUAUCACAGUUGGAGUGGAUUUUAAAAUCCAGACAGUUUAGAUCAGUGGAGAGGAAGUGAAACUGUUGAUCUGGGACACAAGUGAACGAGAGCGCUUCCAAAUUAUUACAUCAAUAUAUUACUGAGGAACACAUGGGAUCAUUGUUGUCUAAGAUGUAACCAGUACAGAAUACAGUGUUUGCAUGAAAUUAAUCAAACUUGUGAUGAUGUCUGUCAUACUAGUGGGGACAAGAAUGAUGAACAACAGUGAAAAGUAGUAGACACAGAGGAUGUCUUUAAAUUUCCUGGGCAGAUGGAAAUACAAUUGUUUGAGAUCAGUGUCAAAGAAAAUACCAAUGUGGAAGAGAUGUUUAACUGCAUUACGGAGCCAGUUCUAUGAGCAGAGAAAGAUAACUUAGUAAAGCAGUAACAGCAGAAACAGAAUGUUGUGAUGAAGCUAACAAACAACAGUAAAAGGAAGAUGCAGUGCUGCUAAUGCCCUUUUCCUACUGAAGAGAUUCUGCUCUGACAGAUCAGCCCUCCCACUAUACUCAGGCAAGUCCACUGGGGACGACUUUGGAAGACUUCCUCAGUUUUGUGCCAUUAUUUAAAUAUUAUUUUUUCCCCAUGUUUUCUAUCAAGAGGCACUGGCAAACUACCACUUCAGUUCCAAGAAAGUACUGGAUGGAGUCUCACCCCUCUCCCCUCCCCUGCUUGCUCCAGUGCGCACUGUAGACAAGAAAGGACAUUGCCUACCAAGUGGUCUAAUUAACCCAAGAGUUUCUAUGUAAUGUAUACUGCUUUAAACAGCUUAGCCUCCCUGUUGUUGCUUUGGCUUAUGCCUUCUUUAUGUCAACCAAUCACAGACUAAAAAUUCCUCUUUAUAAUGAAAUAGUUCUUAAUUCAAGUUGGCUCCAGCCUGGCAGCAGCUGCUUCCUUGGGCCUCUUGCUUCAUUUUUGCUGGGCUCCAGGCUAGUAACUGUUACGCCCAGGGCAUGUAUCUUCACUUUGAGUUGUACAUUUUCAUUGGGGCAUAGGCUCUAUUUUUCUAGGUACCAGGAUUGCAAGUGUUGCUGCUGGAGCCCAAGGUUUCAUUUCUCCAGCCUCUGGCCUGGCAUCUUGUGCUGCUGCUGAGGGGGGCCUUGAGUUUCAGUUUGCCACCAUGAUCUAGAUUUGUGGCUGGGUCCUUUGAUACCACCUUCUUGUGCAGCAGCCCAGCUGUACCUGUGCUCUCCUUUAUUUUCAGCAUCAUUCCCAGGAUACUUCUAUGAGAAAGGAAGACUAUUGUUCAAUGUAAGGAAAUUGAAAGAUUCCUUGUUUGGGUUAUGCAGUGGUGGAGGAUGAUCACUGGUAACAAACUGGUCACACUGUACCCAGCAACGUUUUUCCAUGUUGGCUUUUCUGGGAAAACAAGGGUCCAGCUUACCCUAGGUCAUACCUCAUCCAGUUUCUCAACCAUGAACAAUGAUGUACUGCAUCAGUCCCACUGAAUGGGUCAGUGGUGAGACUGGCCAUUUCCACAUUUUGCUCCACAUACUGCUUCAUUUUGUCCCUUUUUGCAAUGAGGAGUGAUUUUAGAAAAGCAAGAACUCCCCCAAAUCAGUGGUUUCAUGGAUUGAGGGUCUACAGGGCAGAGAUAGGGCAAUUUCCAUGUACAUUCAUUCAUAGCCUGGAUGUAAACUGUCUUUCUAGUGGCAACAGAAAGUUUGUUUAGUGAUUGAGUUGGUGUAGUGGUGGGCUCCCCCUUUUCCUGAGGGGGGAGUGUGCUGGGCAAAUUAACUUCUGUGAGCAGCAGCAACACUUCACCUAGUACAAGCAAGCCAGUCUGAAAACUUUUUGGAGACUAAAAUGAGCAAUAGACUAAAUUUCAGCAGCCAAUUUUGUCUGUAUAAGGUAUGCUGAGUAACUGUGUCAUCUUCAGCUCUAAUUAUCAGGUCACCUUCUUUACCGGUCAAGUUUGUGCUUUCCCUUGACAGAAUUAAGAAGAAAUAGCAUGUGAUUUACAUUAUUAGCAUACUGUGAUAAAGAUGGGGAUUCUAAGACAUGAAGAGUUGCUUUCAGGAUAGUAAGCAUGAAGGAAGGGCACCUAUAAUCCAAAAAGAACAGGUAGAUGCCAAUAAGAAAGAUCUUCUCUAUCUCUAGCAAGUGUUGAGGCCCACGCUAAGAGUCUAGGUCAGCUGGGUUGUCCCCAGAAGAGGGCAAUGCAAGACUGAUUAACUUUUAGGAAAUACUUUUGCACUCAUGGCUGAAACUGUUCGGAUACCCUUUUUUAUGCUUUUGGGUAAAAUUCCAUGAGCAUGAUAACUUAGAAUUGUGCUUUUAUUGUUAACAGUAUUGCCUUCAACUUACAUUAAUGUUGUAUAAUGCAGGUUAACAGUGCGCAUCAUUCUAUUAGAAAUCUAGAGCACCAAUAUGUUAUGCUAUUAUUAACAGCAAUCCAUAGAUACGUAUGUAUCUGCAUUUUCUCUUUCUUGUCUCCUUGACAAACGCAAGGCAUUAUUCUUAAUAACACAAGUCAGUGGAAUAGCACAGAUUUCUAAAGGCCAUACUUCAAGCAGAACACAUCUCAACUUACGUUCUUAAGAAUUCUCUCUCAGGAAGGUUCUCUUAAAAAAAAAAAAAAAAAAAGAAAAGAUGACAAGGCAAACAUUAGCAAACAUUAGCCUGAUGUGUUCUGACAUCUAUUUUGGGGACCUCAUCACCCAAUAGAAAAAAUAACUACACAGCUGAGUUACUUUGAAAUCUGCACUUCAUGGAAGGCUUUAUUUUUUCUGUGUAUGAUCUCAGAGUAAUUCCAUUGCACAUCAGUGCAUUUUAGUUACUUGAAUGGUAUGAAAAUCACUAAAAGUUUGUAUAUCUCUGUAAAGAGAACAGCAGUCUUUUAAAAGAACUGUCUUUCUGUCAGUGCUUUGAUUAUGCUGCAAGUAGUUAUGCACAGGAGGAAUCAACACAUUAUACAGAAGCCUCUCUCUGCACAGAGGACAGUGCAUAGAAAGUUAAAAUGAAAACUUACAAACAGCCACAUAAAUCCUUUUCGGUUCUGGCUUAAUGCAACUAUUACUUGGAACCGUAUGCAUCCAUAUCCCAUUGCCCACUGCACUUUCUUGGGGUUUAUCAGUAACGAUGUCAGAGCCACUGUUUUUUCCACUACAAAAACUAGAUUUCUAUUUAAAAAAAUUUUGGAGUUUAGGAGUUGUGGGUUUUUUGCUUUUACAUCUCUACCCACUGCAAAAUAUUCACCCAAAACAUUUAAAAGCAUUACAAAGACCAGCAGUUUUCUCACUUUCUUAUGCUUUUUAUAUAUGUAGUUGAAGUCACACGCAGAGAAAGAACUCUUAAUAAUACUUAAUAGUAAUUAAGUACAACUAAUUUAAACAUAACUAAAAUCACAGGCUUGCAUAAUACUGACUUACGUACCCUUUCCAUUUCAGACUCAUUAGUUUUGAGUCAAACUGUUCUCAGCUACAGCUGUCUUUCCAUCUCCUGCAAGUACACCGAUUUAUCUGGUGGCACCUGUAACACCGCAUGGUACUGAGGUUAAAAAAGCCCAAACAAAAACCUAGGCAGUUAGCAACCUGACUUGGAAAGAUAUUUUUUACUUCCUCUACAGACUGAAACAAGCCAGUAGAGAGCCAUGCCCUCAGAGGACUCAAAGAUGAAUCCUAAGAAAAAGCGCAAAUAGUCUUUCAGUCCAGCAUGGGACACAGGCUAUGUUAAUGCAUACUCAAAUAGCAGCAGAUAACUACAGUCCACAUUACUAAUGGACCUGCUUUUCAAGUUAUUAAGAGUGCAUAUAGCUUGGACUUAAAUUUUUAAGUAAUACCCCCAGUAAGUCACAUUUCAAAACUCACUUAGAUUAGGAUAGGCUGUAUUAUUUCUGGUUACUGUCAAAUUUGAAGCAGUGCUUCACAAAACACAUAUGCUUUUGGCUUCUGAAAAAAAUCAAUUCUCUUCAAUUAGCAGAGCUUUAAAAAUAAAUAAA